This 585-nucleotide ribosomal RNA is filed under the name uncultured bacterium. RNAcentral's name for it is "partial 16S ribosomal RNA". It matches the Rfam family "Bacterial small subunit ribosomal RNA", at positions 355 to 936 of the family's 1533-position model. The record is from RNAcentral.
UGGGGAAUUUUGGACAAUGGGCGAAAGCCUGAUCCAGCAAUGCCGCGUGUGUUAAGAAGGCCUUCGGGUUGUAAAGCACUUUUGUCCGGAAAGAAAUCCUUGGCUCUAAUACAGUCGGGGGAUGACGGUACCGGAAGAAUAAGCACCGGCUAACUACGUGCCAGCAGCCGCGGUAAUACGUAGGGUGCAAGCGUUAAUCGGAAUUACUGGGCGUAAAGCGUGCGCAGGCGGUUUGCUAAGACCGAUGUGAAAUCCCCGGGCUCAACCUGGGAACUGCAUUGGUGACUGGCAGGCUAGAGUAUGGCAGAGGGGGGUAGAAUUCCACGUGUAGCAGUGAAAUGCGUAGAGAUGUGGAGGAAUACCGAUGGCGAAGGCAGCCCCCUGGCAAGUACUGACGCUCAUGCACGAAAAGCGUGGGGAGCAAACAGGAUUAGAUACCCUGGUAGUCCACGCCCUAAAACGAUGUCAACUAGUUGUUGGGGAUUCAUUUCCUUAGUAACGUAGCUAACGCGUGAAGUUGACCGCCUGGGGAGUACGGUCGCAAGAUUAAAACUCAAAGGAAUUGACGGGGGUCAUAGCUGUUUU